RNAcentral lists this transfer RNA (74 nucleotides) under Acidobacteriota bacterium. Its description in RNAcentral is "Acidobacteria bacterium tRNA-Gln". It matches the Rfam family "tRNA". From Rfam's summary of the family: Transfer RNA (tRNA) molecules are approximately 80 nucleotides in length. Their secondary structure includes four short double-helical elements and three loops (D, anti-codon, and T loops). The record is from RNAcentral. RNAcentral also lists the same sequence under 1 other name. Lineage: Bacteria; Pseudomonadati; Acidobacteriota.
UGCGGCGUCGUCCAACGGCAGGACAGCGGGCCUUGAACCCGUGGAUGAAGGUUCGAGUCCUUCCGCCGCAGCCA